GUGACAGCCCCGUACACAAAAAUGCACAUGCUGUGAGCUCGAUGAGUAGGGCGGGACACGUGGUAUCCUGUCUGAAUAUGGGGGGACCAUCCUCCAAGGCUAAAUACUCCUGACUGACCGAUAGUGAACCAGUACCGUGAGGGAAAGGCGAAAAGAACCCCGGCGAGGGGAGUGAAAAAGAACCUGAAACCGUGUACGUACAAGCAGUGGGAGCACGCUUAGGCGUGUGACUGCGUACCUUUUGUAUAAUGGGUCAGCGACUUAUAUUCUGUAGCAAGGUUAACCGAAUAGGGGAGCCGAAGGGAAACCGAGUCUUAACUGGGCGUUAAGUUGCAGGGUAUAGACCCGAAACCCGGUGAUCUAGCCAUGGGCAGGUUGAAGGUUGGGUAACACUAACUGGAGGACCGAACCGACUAAUGUUGAAAAAUUAGCGGAUGACUUGUGGCUGGGGGUGAAAGGCCAAUCAAACCGGGAGAUAGCUGGUUCUCCCCGAAAGCUAUUUAGGUAGCGCCUCGUGAA
RNAcentral lists this ribosomal RNA (519 nucleotides) under Escherichia coli. RNAcentral's name for it is "partial 23S ribosomal RNA". It matches the Rfam family "Bacterial large subunit ribosomal RNA", at positions 364 to 888 of the family's 2925-position model. The record is from RNAcentral. Lineage: Bacteria; Pseudomonadati; Pseudomonadota; Gammaproteobacteria; Enterobacterales; Enterobacteriaceae.